AGCAGGGUCAGCUAACGAAGCUAUCGGGCCCAUACCCCGAAAA
Molecule: transfer RNA, 43 nt
Filed under: Ectopistes migratorius (passenger pigeon)
Lineage: Eukaryota; Metazoa; Chordata; Aves; Columbiformes; Columbidae
Description: partial tRNA-Met
Source: RNAcentral